UAGCUAGUUGGUGGGGUAAGGGCCUACCAAGGCGACGAUCGGUAGCUGGUNNGAGAGGAUGACCAGCCACACUGGAACUGAGACACGGUCCAGACUCCUACGGGAGGCAGCAGUGGGGAAUAUUGGACAAUGGGGGCAACCCUGAUCCAGCAAUGCCGCGUGUGUGAAGAAGGCCUGAGGGUUGUAAAGCACUUUCAGUGGGGAGGAGGGUUGAUAGGUUAAGAGCUAAUUAACUGGACGUUACCCACAGAAGAAGCACCGGCUAACUCCGUGCCAGCAGCCGCGGUAAUACGGAGGGUGCGAGCGUUAAUCGGAAUUACUGGGCGUAAAGGGUGCGUAGGUGGUUGAUUAAGUUAUCUGUGAAAUUCCUGGGCUUAACCUGGGACGGUCAGAUAAUACUGGUUGACUCGAGUAUGGGAGAGGGUAGUGGAAUUUCCGGUGUAGCGGUGAAAUGCGUAGAGAUCGGAAGGAACACCAGUGGCGAAGGCGGCUACCUGGCCUAAUACUGACACUGAGGCACGAAAGCGCGGGGAGCAAACAGGAUUAGAUACCCUGGUAGUCCACGCUGUAAACGAUGUCAACUAGCUGUUGGUUAUAUGAAAAUAAUUAGUGGCGC
This 616-nucleotide ribosomal RNA is filed under the name uncultured Legionella sp. RNAcentral describes it as "bacterial SSU rRNA". It matches the Rfam family "Bacterial small subunit ribosomal RNA", at positions 242 to 849 of the family's 1533-position model. Lineage: Bacteria; Pseudomonadati; Pseudomonadota; Gammaproteobacteria; Legionellales; Legionellaceae. The record is from RNAcentral.